RNAcentral lists this unclassified non-coding RNA (240 nucleotides) under soil metagenome. RNAcentral's name for it is "partial contains 5.8S ribosomal RNA, internal transcribed spacer 2, and large subunit ribosomal RNA". The record is from RNAcentral.
AACACUGUUAACCUGCGGUACCUGCGGAAGGAUCAUUACAGAGUUGCAAAACUCCCUAAACCAUUGCGAACGUUACCUAAACCGUUGCUUCGGCGGGCGGCCCGGGUCCUUCCCGGCGCCCCUCGGCCCUCGCGGGCGCCCGCCGGAGGUAAACCAAACUAUUGCAUUGUAUGGCCUCUCUGAGUCUUCUGUACUGAAUAAGUCAAAACUUUUAACAAUGGAUCUCAGAUCGGAAGAGCA